AUGCUGUGAUGACACCCACUUGGUUUCGCUUCUGGCUGAGUUUCAGAGAUGACACCUUUCUCUUGGCUGUCUGAGCAU
This 78-nucleotide small nucleolar RNA is filed under the name Octodon degus (degu). RNAcentral describes it as "Small nucleolar RNA SNORD53/SNORD92 (ENSODEG00000022879.1)". It matches the Rfam family "Small nucleolar RNA SNORD53/SNORD92". Rfam says of the family: U53 is a member of the C/D class of snoRNA which contain the C (UGAUGA) and D (CUGA) box motifs. Most of the members of the box C/D family function in directing site-specific 2'-O-methylation of substrate RNAs. The record is from Rfam by way of RNAcentral. Lineage: Eukaryota; Metazoa; Chordata; Mammalia; Rodentia; Octodontidae.